CCCUUAGAUGUCCUGGGCCGCACGCGCGCUACACUGAGUGUCUGAGAUACGAGUCUGCCUGGUCCGGCAAGGUCUAGGUAAUCGCUAAAAGACACAUCAUGCUUGGGAUAGAUUAUUGCAAAUAUUAAUCUUGAACGAGGAAUUCCUAGUAAGCGCAAGUCAACAGCUUGCGUUGAUUACGUCCCUGCCCUUUGUACACACCGCCCGUCGCUACUACUGAUUGGAUGUUUAAGCGAGGUUCUCGAACUGCUAGCGACUUAGCUUCGGUGAGGUCGCAGUGUGGGAAGUGAACCGAGCUUUGUUGUCUAGAGGAAGUAAAAGUCGUAACA
RNAcentral lists this ribosomal RNA (329 nucleotides) under uncultured eukaryote. RNAcentral describes it as "partial 18S ribosomal RNA". It matches the Rfam family "Eukaryotic small subunit ribosomal RNA", at positions 1470 to 1796 of the family's 1831-position model. The record is from RNAcentral.